UACGAAGGGGGCUAGCGUUGCUCGGAAUCACUGGGCGUAAAGCGCACGUAGGCGGACUCUUAAGUCGGGGGUGAAAUCCUGGAGCUCAACUCCAGAACUGCCUUCGAUACUGAGAGCCUUGAGUCCGGGAGAGGUGAGUGGAACUGCGAGUGUAGAGGUGAAAUUCGUGGAUAUUCGCAAGAACACCAGUGGCGAAGGCGGCUCACUGGCCCGGUACUGACGCUGAGGUGCGAAAGCGUGGGGAGCAAACAGG
Molecule: ribosomal RNA, 253 nt
Filed under: uncultured bacterium
Lineage: Bacteria
Description: partial 16S ribosomal RNA
Rfam family: Bacterial small subunit ribosomal RNA
Source: RNAcentral